RNAcentral lists this ribosomal RNA (251 nucleotides) under uncultured bacterium. Its description in RNAcentral is "partial 16S ribosomal RNA". It matches the Rfam family "Bacterial small subunit ribosomal RNA", at positions 524 to 774 of the family's 1533-position model. The record is from RNAcentral.
UACAGAGGGGGCAAGCGUUAUUCGGAAUUAUUGGGCGUAAAGGGCGCGUAGGCGGCUUUUCAAGUGACGGGUGAAAUCCCCAGGCUUAACCUGGGAACUGCGUCGGAUACUGGAUGGCUUGAAUCCGGGAGAGGGAUGCGGAAUUCCAGGUGUAGCGGUGAAAUGCGUAGAUAUCUGGAGGAACACCGGUGGCGAAGGCGGCAUCCUGGACCGGCAUUGACGCUAAAGCGCGAAAGCCAGGGGAGCAAAGC